AUCCAGCUGACGAGUCCCAAAUAGGACGAACUGUGCGCCCUGGAU
Molecule: non-coding RNA, 45 nt
Filed under: Schistosoma mansoni
Lineage: Eukaryota; Metazoa; Platyhelminthes; Trematoda; Strigeidida; Schistosomatidae
Source: RNAcentral